This 520-nucleotide ribosomal RNA is filed under the name uncultured fungus. Its description in RNAcentral is "SSU rRNA". It matches the Rfam family "Eukaryotic small subunit ribosomal RNA", at positions 37 to 559 of the family's 1831-position model. The record is from RNAcentral. Lineage: Eukaryota; Fungi.
UCAAAGAUUAAGCCAUGCAUGUCUAAGUAUAAGCAACUUGUACUGUGAAACUGCGAAUGGCUCAUUAAAUCAGUUAUCGUUUAUUUGAUAGUACCUUACUACAUGGAUACCUGAGGUAAUUCUAGAGCUAAUACAUGCUAAAAACCCCGACUUCAGGAAGGGGUGUAUCUAUUAGAUAAAAAACCAACGCCCUUCGGGGCUCCUUGGUGAAUCAUAAUAACUUAACGAAUCGCAUGGCCUUGCGCCGGCGAUGGUUCAUUCAAAUUUCUGCCCUAUCAACUUUCGAUGGUAGGAUAGUGGCCUACCAUGGUGGCAACGGGUAACGGGGAAUUAGGGUUCGAUUCCGGAGAGGGAGCCUGAGAAACGGCUACCACAUCCAAGGAAGGCAGCAGGCGCGCAAAUUACCCAACCCCGAUACGGGGAGGUAGUGACGAUAAAUACUGAUACGGGGCUCUUUUGGGUCUCGUAAUUGGAAUGAGAACAAUUUAAAUCCCUUAACGAGGAACAAUUGGAGGGCAAG